Sus scrofa (pig) is the source of this 399-nucleotide non-coding RNA. The record is from RefSeq and is a predicted model, not a curated record. Lineage: Eukaryota; Metazoa; Chordata; Mammalia; Artiodactyla; Suidae.
GACAAGGAAACACAUGGACAGGAGCCCCCGGGCCACAGUAUCUUGCAUUUCCUCGAGAAGGGAGAGAGGUCUCGAACUCGUGCCUGAGAGUAGGAGGGACUGGCUUAGACUCCCGGCCUGAUGUUUACUAGCUCCUUGGCCCCGAGCAGGUUACUUCUCCCUACUCUUCUCCAGGUUUUGCAUCUAUAAGAUGGGGGACAGAACGAGCUUGGCAUUGUCUGAGGACUAAAAACAGAGGAGAAUCCGCCUGCCCUCUUGGCACCGGAGAAUUAAUGGACAGGUGUCUCCUAAGGAUAUAUACCGGCUUGUAAGAUGCUGGCCAGCAGGGCUCAUGGAUGAACUCAGAGCGUAUCAUCACCAGUGGAUCCCUCUCUCUGGCAAUAAAGAUACCUUCCUGCG